GUGGGGAAUUGUUCGCAAUGGGCGAAAGCCUGACGACGCAACGCCGCGUGGGGGAUGAAGGUCUUCGGAUCGUAAACCCCUGUCGAAUGGGACGAAUAACCUUUGGGUUAACAGCCCGAAGGAAUGACGGUACCGUUAAAGGAAGCCACGGCUAACUCUGUGCCAGCAGCCGCGGUAAUACAGAGGUGGCAAGCGUUGUUCGGAAUUAUUGGGCGUAAAGGGCGCGUAGGCGGCCAUCUAAGUCAGACGUGAAAUCCCCCGGCUUAACCUGGGAACUGCGUCUGAUACUGGGCGGCUAGAGUUUGGGAGAGGGAUGUAGAAUUCCAGGUGUAGCGGUGAAAUGCGUAGAUAUCUGGAGGAAUACCGGUGGCGAAGGCGGCAUCCUGGACCAAUACUGACGCUGAGGCGCGAAAGCUAGGGGAGCAAACGGGAUUAGAUACCCUAGUAGUCC
Molecule: ribosomal RNA, 451 nt
Filed under: uncultured bacterium
Lineage: Bacteria
Description: bacterial SSU rRNA
Rfam family: Bacterial small subunit ribosomal RNA
Source: RNAcentral